AGAGUAACAACAAAGAGUAAAAAGGGAAUAGAAAUUUAAUUAGAAAAGUACAACAGGAGACAGACAGACAGACGUACCCGAGUGUGUCAUAGAGGGAAGAAAAGGAAGAUUAUCAAGACGCGAGCAGUGGAGGGAGGCGGCGGGGGAGACAGCGGGAAGACAGGGCGAGGGCGGAUGGCGGUGAGGUGUUCGUCCAUGAGGCUUUCACUUUCCUGCUCACCUGUGGAUCUGAUCAAAGACUCCGGCGUGAUGGGCGAGGCUGACGAGGCGGGAGAGAAAGACUCCGGUGUGAUGGACGAGGCCGAGGAAGCAGGAGAGAAUGGUAAGUUUGAUCUGUUUUACCUAAUUUACCUUUACUUACCUGAUUUCCAGAUGUGAACAGUGUAUUUACUCGAGUGUGUGUGUG
This is a long non-coding RNA of Eriocheir sinensis (Chinese mitten crab), 406 nucleotides long. RefSeq lists it as uncharacterized. The record is from RefSeq and is a predicted model, not a curated record. The transcript is spliced from 5 exons. Lineage: Eukaryota; Metazoa; Arthropoda; Malacostraca; Decapoda; Varunidae.